AUGCAAGUGUAAGUUCACGCCACGCUUUAGAACGGGCGAAACCGCGAAUGGCUCAGGAACCGGACCUAAUCCUCGGGACCGUAAUCCUCCUCGGAGGCGAUGGAUAACUGUGGCAAUUCUAGAGCUAAUACAUGUGACACAGGCCGCGAUCGGCCGUCGCGCCGUGGUCGCCUCGCCUCGCGCGCUGGCACCCGCGGCGGCCGUCUUGGGUCGCGGCGCUACAUAUUAGACUGAGACCGAUGCGCGAUUCCCGCUCUCCCUUCGCGGUCUCCGGUUUCGGCCGGUCUCUGCGUCGGGGCCAAAGGGCGGCGCGCUCCGCUUUGGUGACUCUGGAUAACUCACUGGUCGAUCGCACGGGCUUCCACGCCCGGCGACGGGUCCCUCGAGGGUCCGCCCUAUCAACUGUCGACGGUCGGUUAAGUGCCUACCGUGGUUACUACGGGUAACGGGGAAUCGGGGUUCGAUUCCGGAGAGGGAGCAUGCGAAACGGCUACCACA
Molecule: ribosomal RNA, 498 nt
Filed under: Illex illecebrosus
Lineage: Eukaryota; Metazoa; Mollusca; Cephalopoda; Oegopsida; Ommastrephidae
Description: partial small subunit ribosomal RNA
Rfam family: Eukaryotic small subunit ribosomal RNA
Source: RNAcentral